UCCCUGUGCAGGAUCUCCUCUGAAGAACAUUUUUCAGCAAAAGGGGUUCAAUCCAUGGCCAAGACAAUUGGUGUUGUGUUUAAUGAGCAAAGGCAAGAACGCUCCUCCAUGGUUCAUCCGUGUUGACCCCUAUUGUUUACAGAUUCCUACAAUAGCCUCUGAAGAGUGAAGACAUGGCCCUUGGAAGGGGCUAUAAAAGAACCAAAAGAUUUGUAAAAUUCACGCAUCUUCCAUUGUGAAUAAAAGGAGUUCUUUCAAGAAUUAAACAUUUCUUCAGAUCACAAUUUCUCCCCAAAAGCACUUACAGUAGGAGAGCAGGAUGAUGCAUGGGGAGUGGGAAGAACUCAACACUUUAAUUUUUUGUUAACAUGGUGGAUUUAUUUGUGAAAGUUUGUGAAAGUAUGGCAAAAGAAGGCACACUCAUCACCAUUAAGAAAUCCUUCUAACCAACAAGCCUUCAUAAUCCUACCAUGCAUUAGAGUUAAAAAUACUCAACCAAUGUUCUGGGGUACACUGACUUCAGAUUUUCAGCAAGUCAAAUGGACUGUUUCCUCCCCAAAAACUUAAGAAAUUGGGCUUGUGGCCUUUACAACACUAAUGGAUGCAGAUGAAAAUUUACUAAAGGAGGUGAAGAAAUGACCUGAGUGGUCGAAGUGAUCU
This 660-nucleotide long non-coding RNA is filed under the name Numida meleagris (helmeted guineafowl). RNAcentral describes it as "lncRNA (ENSNMEG00000000480.1)". Lineage: Eukaryota; Metazoa; Chordata; Aves; Galliformes; Numididae. The record is from RNAcentral.